UACGUAGGGUGCAAGCGUUGUCCGGAAUUACUGGGCGUAAAGCGUGCGCAGGCGGUUUGUUAAGUCUGCUGUGAAAUCCCCGAGCUCAACUUGGGAAUUGCAGUGGAUACUGGCAGGCUGGAGUAUGGUAGAGGCAGGUGGAAUUCCCGGUGUAGUGGUGAAAUGCGUAGAGAUCGGGAGGAACACCCGUGGCGAAGGCGGCCUGCUGGGCCGGUCCUGACGCUGAUGCGCGAAGGCGUGGGGAGCGAACGGG
This 253-nucleotide ribosomal RNA is filed under the name uncultured bacterium. RNAcentral describes it as "partial 16S ribosomal RNA". It matches the Rfam family "Bacterial small subunit ribosomal RNA", at positions 524 to 776 of the family's 1533-position model. The record is from RNAcentral.